RNAcentral lists this long non-coding RNA (371 nucleotides) under Prunus persica (peach). RNAcentral's name for it is "long non-coding RNA (PPER_LNC001892)". The record is from RNAcentral. Lineage: Eukaryota; Viridiplantae; Streptophyta; Magnoliopsida; Rosales; Rosaceae.
UUGAGGUGUGAGCAGCCUAGACCAAAGUUGUGCCAUCUCUUGUUGACAAAGGAAGACAAGAUAGCUGGUUGGGUUGAGUAGCAAAGGCUAGUAGGCAAGUCUGCCUUGUGAGCGUUAGUCUUGUGAGUUGAGACUUGUAAGACCUUUUUGUAUUCUUUCUCAUAGUGAUUUGUUCUCCGGCAUAGUGCCAGCAGUUGUUUUCCUCAUCUUGAGGUUUUUUACUGUGUCAACAUAUCGUGUGUCUCUUGUGCAAUUGUUUGCGUUUUUAUUUGAUUUAUUCUGCUGCAUAUUCUGGAAUUUUUGCUUAUAGGAUUGUUACACUAUUUCAGUCCUGCUGUGGUGUUUGAGUAUUAAGAAACAGAUCAGUUGGC